AUGGACGACAGAGUUGGCUGGGUUAGCAGGAAACGGAGGGAUGUCAUGCCAGACGAAAGAUCAACAAGUGCAGACAGGGUCACCGCGCUGGAAAAAGCGCUAACCGGGUUUGCAGAUAGGCAUUCAGAAACUGUGGUGACCCCGUCAGUUGUGCUGACAUUUGAUUCAAUAAACGAGGCGUAUGAGUUCUACAACCUGUACUCUUGGGAAACUGGAUUUGGGGUUCGGUAUGCAAAGAGCAGGUCUAAUGUAAAAGGAACGAAAUGCAUGCAGGAGUUCGUAUGCUGCUGCUCGGGCAAACCAAAAGCAAUCUGGCGUUCCCGGACUUAA
RNAcentral lists this ribosomal RNA (330 nucleotides) under Triticum aestivum (bread wheat). Its description in RNAcentral is "partial small subunit ribosomal RNA". The record is from RNAcentral. Lineage: Eukaryota; Viridiplantae; Streptophyta; Magnoliopsida; Poales; Poaceae.